UUUUGUAUAAUGGGUCAGCGAGUUACUUUGACGAGCAAGCCUAAGCCGUUAGGUGUAAGCGAAGCGAAAGCGAGUCUGAAUAGGGCGUNUAGUUCGUUUGAGUAGACCCGAAACCGGGUGAUCUAGCNAUGGGCAGGUUGAAGGUACGGUAACACGUACUGNAGGACCGAACCCACGUNUGUUGAAAAAUGCGGGGAUGACCUGUGGCUAGGGGUGAAAGGCCAAUCAAACCCGGAGAUAGCUGGUUCUCUGCGAAAACUAUUUAGGUAGUGCGUCAUGUAUUACUAUCGGGGGUAGAGCACUGGAUGGGCUAGGGGGGCGCGAGCCUUACCAAACCUAACCAAACUCCGAAUACCGAUAAGUACAGCAUGGCAGACAGACUAUGGGUGCUAAGGUCCAUAGUCGAGAGGGAAACAGCCCAGACCUCCAGCUAAGGUCCCUAAAUUGUGGCUAAGUGGGAAAGGAUGUGGGAAGGCCAAGACAGCCAGGAGGUUGGCUUAGAAGCAGCCAUCCUUUAAAGAAAGCGUAACAGCUCACUGGUCUAGAUAAGCCGGCCUGCGCCGAAGAUGUAACGGGGCUAAAGCCAUACACCGAAGCUGAGGACGUGCAUUAGCACGUGGUAGCAGAGCGUUCUGUAAGCCUGUGAAGCNUAACCGCGAGGUUGNGUGGAGGUAUCAGAAGUGAGAAUGCUGACAUGAGUAGCGAUAAAGAGUGUGAGAAACACUCUCGCCGUAAGCCCAAGGGUUCCUGCGCAAGGCUAAUCCGCGCAGGGUGAGUCGGCCCCUAAGACGAGGGCGAAAGCCGUAGUCGAUGGGAAUCACGGUUAAUAUUCCGUGAACCUGAUGGUAGUGACGGAUNACGUAAGUNGUNCAUGCUUAUCGGAUUGUGUGUGCNGCGAAGUUGUCCCAGGAAAUAGCUCCAUCNUUAAGACCGUACCCCAAACCGACACAGGUGGGCAGGUAGAGCAUACCNAGGCGCUUGAGAGAACGAUGUUGAAGGAACUCGGCAAAUUGCCCCCGUAACUUCGGGAGAAGGGGGACCUCNACUUGGGCAACCAGGUAGGGGUGGCACAGAAUAGGGGGUGGCGACUGUUUAUUAAAAACACAGGGCUCUGCGAAGUAGCUAAUACGACGUAUAGGGUCUGACGCCUGCCCGGUGCCGGAAGGUUAAAAGGAGGUGUGAGAGCUCCGAAUUGAAGCCCCGGUAAACGGCGGCCGUAACAAUAACGGUCCUAAGGUAGCGAAAUUCCUUGUCGGGUAAGUUCCGACCUGCACGAAUG
Molecule: ribosomal RNA, 1279 nt
Filed under: metagenome
Description: bacterial LSU rRNA
Rfam family: Bacterial large subunit ribosomal RNA
Source: RNAcentral